UGUGUGGCUGCAUCAGGCGGAGCAAGCCUGUCUUCAUUGUUCUUGUGAACUCAAGGUCACUGCUUGGAGCCCCGACCGCGGGCAUUUCUAGCCACUGUCGGGAGAGAUAUUUAGAUUUAGCUCUUAGGGCUAAGG
Molecule: long non-coding RNA, 135 nt
Organism: Amblyraja radiata (thorny skate)
Lineage: Eukaryota; Metazoa; Chordata; Chondrichthyes; Rajiformes; Rajidae
Exons: 3
Source: RefSeq, a predicted model, not a curated record